RNAcentral lists this ribosomal RNA (159 nucleotides) under uncultured Rikenella sp. RNAcentral describes it as "partial 16S ribosomal RNA". It matches the Rfam family "Bacterial small subunit ribosomal RNA", at positions 351 to 507 of the family's 1533-position model. The record is from RNAcentral. Lineage: Bacteria; Pseudomonadati; Bacteroidota; Bacteroidia; Bacteroidales; Rikenellaceae.
UGAGGAAUAGCUAUUGGUCAAUGGACGGAAGUCUGAACCAGCCAUGCCGCGUGCAGGAUGACGGCUCUAUGAGUUGUAAACUGCUUUUGUACGAGAAUAAUAGUUCUUACGUGUAGGGAUUUGAAUGUAUCGUACGAAUAAGGAUCGGCUAACUCCGUG